UACAGAGGGGGCAAGCGUUAUUCGGAAUUAUUGGGCGUAAAGGGCGCGUAGGCGGUUCUUCAAGUCUCUCGUGAAAUCCCUCGGCUUAACUGAGGACGUGCGGGAGAUACUGAAGGGCUUGAGUCCGGAAGAGGGUGGUGGAAUUCCCAGUGUAGCGGUGAAAUGCGUAGAUAUCGGGAGGAAUACCAGUGGCGAAGGCGGCUCACUGGACCAUUACUGACGCUGAGGCUCGAAAGCUAGGGGAGCAAACAGG
This 253-nucleotide ribosomal RNA is filed under the name uncultured bacterium. RNAcentral describes it as "partial 16S ribosomal RNA". It matches the Rfam family "Bacterial small subunit ribosomal RNA", at positions 524 to 776 of the family's 1533-position model. The record is from RNAcentral.